Molecule: transfer RNA, 69 nt
Filed under: Ictidomys tridecemlineatus (thirteen-lined ground squirrel)
Lineage: Eukaryota; Metazoa; Chordata; Mammalia; Rodentia; Sciuridae
Description: Spermophilus tridecemlineatus (thirteen-lined ground squirrel) tRNA
Rfam family: tRNA
About the family: Transfer RNA (tRNA) molecules are approximately 80 nucleotides in length.
Source: Rfam by way of RNAcentral
GGGGCUGUGGCUCAGUGGAAGAGCACCUGCCUGGCAUGUGUGAGGCCCUGGGUUCCAUUCUCAGCACCA